UACGAAGGGGGCUAGCGUUGCUCGGAAUCACUGGGCGUAAAGGGUGCGUAGGCGGGUCUUUAAGUCAGGGGUGAAAUCCUGGAGCUCAACUCCAGAACUGCCUUUGAUACUGAGGAUCUUGAGUUCGGGAGAGGUGAGUGGAACUGCGAGUGUAGAGGUGAAAUUCGUAGAUAUUCGCAAGAACACCGGUGGCGAAGGCGGGUCUCUGGGCCGAUACUGACGCUGAGGAGCGAAAGCGUGGGGAGCGAACAGG
This 253-nucleotide ribosomal RNA is filed under the name uncultured bacterium. RNAcentral's name for it is "partial 16S ribosomal RNA". It matches the Rfam family "Bacterial small subunit ribosomal RNA", at positions 524 to 776 of the family's 1533-position model. The record is from RNAcentral.